GCAGGUGGCAAGCGUUGUCCGGAAUUAUUGGGCGUAAAGCGCGCGCAGGCGGUUCUUUAAGUCUGAUGUGAAAGCCCACGGCUCAACCGUGGAGGGUCAUUGGAAACUGGAGAACUUGAGUACAGAAGAGGAAAGCGGAAUUCCACGUGUAGCGGUGAAAUGCGUAGAGAUGUGGAGGAACACCAGUGGCGAAGGCGGCUUUCUGGUCUGUAACUGACGCUGAGGCGCGAAAGCGUGGGGGAGCAAACAGGAUUAGAUACCCUGGUAGUCCACGCCGUAAACGAUGAGUGCUAAGUGUUAGGGGGUUUCCGCCCCUUAGUGCUGCAGCUAACGCAUUAAGCACUCCGCCCUGGGAGUACGGCCGCAAGGCUG
This 372-nucleotide ribosomal RNA is filed under the name uncultured organism. RNAcentral describes it as "partial 16S ribosomal RNA". It matches the Rfam family "Bacterial small subunit ribosomal RNA", at positions 527 to 896 of the family's 1533-position model. The record is from RNAcentral.